AAGGUUGCUCAGUGGUAGAGUGCUUGCCUUGCAUGCAGGAGGCCCUGAGUUUGAUUGCUCAGCACCUUA
Non-coding RNA from Dipodomys ordii (Ord's kangaroo rat), 69 nucleotides. Lineage: Eukaryota; Metazoa; Chordata; Mammalia; Rodentia; Heteromyidae. The record is from Rfam.